CUCACCUGGCCCCAGCGCGGAGCCGGAUCACACCUGCCUGCUGGGUGAGCCGAGGGCAUUCGCGGAAGGGAAGAGACAAGACCUGGGAAGGGACGCCUGUGGCUUAGAAAGACCCUCAGGCAGGGCCGGGCGUGGGGCGCGCUGAUAAAAAUUCCUGGAGCUGUAUUAUUCACAUCGCAGAUUUGUCCCUUUGCCUCAAUCUAAAAGGAAUGGGAAAGAACAGCCGCUGGGCUCUCAUUUGCUUCCAGCUUACACAGAUUCAACUAUCAAUUAUCCCAGAGGAGAGGCGUGCAGUGCAGGGCGUUGGGCCACGAAACUGAAAGCUGCUGGCGAGGCGCGUGGGGGAGGUCGAUUUCUGCGUCCUGCUGCCUCCACGCACAGUGAGAACCCACCCCGCCACUGCGUUCCUGUCCUCACAGGUAAAGUCAGGAUAAUAAUAUCUACCUCACGGGGGAUUCGAGGAAGUGGUGGGAGCGUAAAGCCCCGUCUGGUAGAGUGAAUACCUGAGCAAUGGCCUUCCGGUCCCGUCUUCAGCACAGCAGGACGAAAAUGUCUUCUGUUGGGAUCCCAGAGAAGAUCCAGACGCUGACACCUGCCCCUACCUCUCUACUUCUCAUCAUACCGGUCACCUGGAAGAAGGGUCCAUUCAAAGCAAAGCCUGUAGCCAAUGAGUUGUUUCUGCCAUCAAACAGUCAAGCAUAUGAGGCCCAAUAGGCAGUCCUGUUUUUUUUGUGACAGAGUCUCACUCUGUCGCCAGGCUGGAGUACAGUGGCGUGAUCUCGGCUCACUGCAACCUCCACCUCCCGGGUUAAAGUGAUUCUCCUGCCUCAGCCUCCCGAGUAGCUGGGAUUACAGAUGCACGCCACCACGCCGGCUAAUUUUUGUAUUUUUAGUAGAGACGGGGUUUCACCAUGUUGGCCAGGAUGGUCUCGAUCCACUGACAUCGUGAUCCGCCCGCCUCGGCCUCCCAACGUGCUGGGAUUACAGAUGCGCCGGCCAGGCAGUCCUGUUAAGCCAUGCCACACAGCUUAAAAAAAGACACUGGCAAGCUCAAGUCCCGAAGUUACCAGCUGAAGGAAGAGACUUAAACCAAACCAAGGGCUUCCUAUGACAGUUCUGAAAUACCCUCUUCCCUCUUGAGUCCAUACAACUGAGAAAAUAGAACGGCCAGUCACCGUGGCUCGUGCCUGUAAUUCUGGCACUUUGGUAGGCAGAGGCAGGCAGAUCACCUGAGGUCAGGAGUUUGAGACCAGCCUGGCCAACAUGGUGAAAGCCCGUCUCUACAAAAAUACAAAAAUUAGCCGGGCAUGGUGGCGCAUGCCUGUAGUCCCAGCUACUCGGGAGGCUGAGGCAUGAGAAUUGCUUGACCCGGGAGGCGGAGGUUGCAGUGAGCUGAGAUCGUGCCACUGCACUCCAGCCUGGGUGACAGAGCGAGCCUCUGUCUCAAAAAGAAAAAACAACAACAAAAAGGGAAAACCAAAGGUAAAAUUUGAUCCACAGGACUGGCCACAUUUCUACACUGGUAAAAUCAUGGCCUUGCUGAAGCAUUGAUCAGGAAGGGAUAAGACCCAGAGAAUCCAAAUGGAGACAAAUGAGAGGAUUUGGAAAACCUGAAGUUCUCUGAAUCACCCAGUCCUCAAAGAGCCUCCUUCGUCAGCGGAAACCCUCUUCUCCAGUCUUCUGACACACUUCGUAACGACACUGCCAUUUCUUUGCAUCCUUUGCAGUCUCACUGCAAGAGCAAGCCAGUUCUCAUGCAUUACCCUCGACUGUCUCCAGAAUGGACAGUUAGAUCCCAGCACUUCAGAAAGAAGGACAAUGGCAAGCUCAAACCAGCGAGGAUCAAGAUUAGAAACCAACAUGAUUUUGGGAUUUUCCUAACUAAGGGUGCUUAAUAAAUGGGUGGAAAGGUAUCAUUUUACACUGGUCUGAUGUUGUUGAUAUACAUUGCAGAGAUUCUGGAUUGACUGUGCUAGCAGGAGAAGCUGGGAGUGACUUCUGAGCUGGACUGACCACUGGACGCCAAGUGAUUAUCCCUAAUGUAUUACAUGUCAUUUGCAACCCAAGCUGUCCGUCAUGUACUGGGCCAUCUGACACACUCAUAAAAUCCCAUUACCAACUGGAAAUGGUUUAUGUGGGACUAGCUCCUAACCAGGCACAUCAUUGCUUCAACUGAUUCAUGAGCAGAAGAGUCUUUGCUGGCAACACAUGAACUGUGAUGGAUUCAAUCACUUAGGCUUUCCAUUAUCAAUGCAGACCUGGCCCCUGGGUGCACAGGGUUAUCAGUGACCACCCCUGAAUGCCGCAACUGACCAGACUCCAGGGACACCAUGGACUACUUAGUUGCAGACUGAUGACUUUGGACCUCUUCCAUUAUGGAAAGGGCAGUGAUUUCUUUUCACUGAAACAGGCUCAUGUCUGACUUUGGAACUGACCUCUCUGCCUGUAGAUCAUCAUGGCAUGCUCUACAAAAUUGCUUCUGACAACGGAAUUCACUUUACAGUGAAAGAGGGAAAGCAGUGGGUGAUACCCUUGUCAAUGGAUCCUGUCACCCAGAAGCAGUCAUCUGUAUUCAGCUGUGACAUGAUUUAUUGAAGAUUUCAUUUCAGGACUGAGAGACGAUCAUACCUAAGGAGAUUGAAAUAUCGUCCUUUAAGAUGCUUGUUUGUUCUGAACUAGGGAACAUCACGUGGUGCCGUUUCUCCCACAGCCAGACUAAACAGGUCUGGAGGAAGGGGAAGUAGGCACGGUGCAACUUCCAUCUUACUUAAUGACUCUCACUCUCUUCAACUUUUUUUCCACCAAUUAGCGAUUUUAUUCCCAGGAAAGGAAGGUUGCACCAUUGAGGCAGCUGACCGUUGGGGUGGCUCCCUUUGGAAAGGGGAUAUAAAGUGUUUGUAUGAGUGAUGGUUCCAUUAAAGCAGACAUUUUUUAAAAAGGUGAAA
This 2945-nucleotide long non-coding RNA is filed under the name Homo sapiens (human). Its description in RNAcentral is "HSALNT0391565". Lineage: Eukaryota; Metazoa; Chordata; Mammalia; Primates; Hominidae. The record is from RNAcentral.